Molecule: long non-coding RNA, 281 nt
Organism: Prionailurus viverrinus (fishing cat)
Lineage: Eukaryota; Metazoa; Chordata; Mammalia; Carnivora; Felidae
Exons: 3
Source: RefSeq, a predicted model, not a curated record
CCAAUACUGAUAGGAAGAUGAGAAAGGCUGGUCCCUUUGUGUCAAGAGUCUAUUUCUUAUGAUCAUUCCUGGUACCAACUAUCUUCAACUGAGUUCCCUUAGAAACAGACUUUGGAAAUGAAAUGUUGCAUGCAGAAGACUUUUUGAGAAAUGUUCUUAGAAAAGACACCUGUCAGGAAGUGAAAAAGGUAGGAUUGAACAGAAGGAGAAGCCUAUCAAGGUAGCUUGGUCCCAGAUGCAGAUUGGGUCAUGGGGGAACAGACCAGGCAUACGAAUGGACC